UAGGGAAUCUUCCGCAAUGGGCGAAAGCCUGACGGAGCAACGCCGCGUGAGUGAUGAAGGUCUUCGGAUCGUAAAACUCUGUUAUUAGGGAAGAAUAAAUGUGUAAGUAACUAUGCACGUCUUGACGGUACCUAAUCAGAAAGCCACGGCUAACUACGUGCCAGCAGCCGCGGUAAUACGUAGGUCCCGAGCGUUGUCCGGAUUUAUUGGGCGUAAAGCGAGCGCAGGCGGUUAGAUAAGUCUGAAGUUAAAGGCAGUGGCUCAACCAUUGUAGGCUUUGGAAACUGUUUAACUUGAGUGCAGAAGGGGAGAGUGGAAUUCCAUGUGUAACGGUGAAAUGCGUAGAUAUAUGGAGGAACACCGGUGGCGAAAGCGGCUCUCUGGUCUGUAACUGACGCUGAGGCUCGAAAGCGUGGGGAGCGAACAGG
RNAcentral lists this ribosomal RNA (428 nucleotides) under Bacteroidota bacterium. RNAcentral's name for it is "Bacteroidetes bacterium partial 16S ribosomal RNA". It matches the Rfam family "Bacterial small subunit ribosomal RNA", at positions 355 to 776 of the family's 1533-position model. Lineage: Bacteria; Pseudomonadati; Bacteroidota. The record is from RNAcentral.